Molecule: ribosomal RNA, 425 nt
Filed under: uncultured bacterium
Lineage: Bacteria
Description: partial 16S ribosomal RNA
Rfam family: Bacterial small subunit ribosomal RNA
Source: RNAcentral
GUGGGGAAUAUUGGGCAAUGGGCGAAAGCCUGACCCAGCAACGCCGCGUGAAGGAAGAAGGUCUUCGGAUCGUAAACUUCUAUCCUUGGUGAAGAUAAUGACGGUAGCCGAGAAGGAAGCCCCGGCUAACUACGUGCCAGCAGCCGCGGUAAUACGUAGGGGGCACGCGUUGUCCGGAAUGAUUGGGCGUAAAGGGCGCGUAGGCGGCCUGGUAAGUCUGGAGUGAAAGUCCUGCUUUUAAGGUGGGAAUUGCUUUGGAUACUGUCGUGCUUGGCUGCAGGAGAGGUAAGUGGAAUUCCCGUUGUAGCGGUGAAAUGCGUAGAGAUCGGGAGGAACACCAGUGGCGAAGGCGACUUACUGGACUGUAACUGACGCUGAGGCGCGAAAGUGUGGGGAGCAAACAGGAUUAGAAACCCCGGUAGUCC